UGGGGAAUAUUGCACAAUGGGCGCAAGCCUGAUGCAGCCAUGCCGCGUGUAUGAAGAAGGCCUUCGGGGUUGUAAAGUACUUUCAGCGAGGAGGAAGGCAUUAAGGUUAAUAACCUUAGUGAUUGACGUUACUCGCAGAAGAAGCACCGGCUAACGUCCGUGCCAGCAGCCGCGGUAAUACGGAGGGUGCAAGCGUUAAUCGGAAUUACUGGGCGUAAAGCGCACGCAGGCGGUCUGUCAAGUCGGAUGUGAAAUCCCCGGGCUCAACCUGGGAACUGCAUUCGAAACUGGCAGGCUAGAGUCUUGUAGAGGGGUAGAAUUCAGGUGUAGCGGUGAAUUGCGUAGAGAUCUGGAGGAAUACCGGUGGC
This 368-nucleotide ribosomal RNA is filed under the name uncultured Enterobacteriaceae bacterium. RNAcentral's name for it is "bacterial SSU rRNA". It matches the Rfam family "Bacterial small subunit ribosomal RNA", at positions 355 to 716 of the family's 1533-position model. Lineage: Bacteria; Pseudomonadati; Pseudomonadota; Gammaproteobacteria; Enterobacterales; Enterobacteriaceae. The record is from RNAcentral.